AAAUGGAGGAUUCUCUUCCUCAGGGCAACGUCUAAACAGAGCAUCCUUAUUCAGGUCGGCACAAAUGGAAGAUGAACUGAACCACACACUGACUUCUGGCCCAAAAUACUAUGCUGCUGGUGUUACAUUUCUAAAGCACAGGCCUCCCUCUUACGUUCCUCUGCCAGCCUUUCCAUUGCAUAUGAGACACAUCCCUAAGUUCACAUGGAGAUAACCAAGGCCCUUCGCCAACUGGACAGCACCCGGCGGCUCCUACCUGGCCACUGUGCUUAGCGGUCCUGGCUUUGCCACAGCCUCUGAACAUUCGCAGAGCUCUGCCCUCGCUCCACAGCGGUCUCCUGUCGAUGGUCCCAGUUUCACCACAGCCUCUCAACAUUUGCAGAGCUUUGCCCUCGCUCCACAGCCAUCUCCUGUGGGGUGUCCGAGCUUCGCCACAGCCUCUGAACAUUCGCAGAGCUCUGCCCUCACUCCACAGCCGUCUCCCGCCUCUGAACAUUUGCAGAGCUCUGCCCUCGCUCCAUAGCCGUCUCCUGUGGAUGGUCCCAGUUUCACCACAGCCUCUCAACAUUUGCAGAGCUUUGCCCUCGCU
This 589-nucleotide non-coding RNA is filed under the name Pan troglodytes (chimpanzee). Lineage: Eukaryota; Metazoa; Chordata; Mammalia; Primates; Hominidae. The record is from RNAcentral.